Molecule: transfer-messenger RNA, 372 nt
Filed under: Actinomycetes bacterium
Lineage: Bacteria; Bacillati; Actinomycetota; Actinomycetes
Description: Actinobacteria bacterium transfer-messenger RNA
Rfam family: transfer-messenger RNA
About the family: Bacterial tmRNA, also known as 10Sa RNA or SsrA, is named for its dual tRNA and mRNA-like properties. Its role is to liberate the mRNA from a stalled ribosome.
Source: RNAcentral
GGGGGUGACUGGUUUCGACUUCGUUCGUUGAGUUAGGGGAAGCGAGCCGAGGAAGCCGACGUCGUCUCGUUAAUCGUCGUCGGGAAAAAAUAAGCGCCAACGCUAAGCGCGCUGACUUCGCUCUCGCUGCCUGACGCGAGUAGCGGGUCUGUCGGCCUGGGAGCGCCUUCGGCCCAGUAGCCGGCAUCAGCGAGAAGGCUGGCCACCGGACCUUGUCGCGGGGUCUGGUUGGCGAGAGUCAACGCGACUGGGCCCGUCACACCGACUCGCUCGCGUGAUCGGUGGGGCCGAGUAGAGGCACAGCGAGCUGCGCUCGGAGAAGCCCUAGCAAGGCGACGAAGGACCCGGGUUCGAUUCCCGGCACCUCCACCA